AAUCCCCUAAUCAAUAAGGAUGUCAUUUAUCAUGUUAAAUACUCUUAAUUCAUUCCCGUAACCAAUUGGUAUUUUCUGUUUUUUUUCUGGGUUUUUUAAUGUAAUUUUUGUAGAUCUACGCUUGUUUUUUUAAAUUUUGAAGAAUUUAGCUUGUUGGGUUUUUUUUUAAAUCACUUUAAUUGUCUUUUGGUUGUGUUAUUUGAUAUGAUUUUCUUGGGAUUAUUUGAUAGGAUUUCUGGGUUUUUGAAUUUGGUUCUGAAAUUCGGUAUUUGGGAUUUUUUGGAGGUGGGGGUUGUGUUAAUUGUCAUUAGUUGUUCCGUUUGAAUUGAUGGUAUGAUUUUGGGUAUGAAAUAUUGUAAUUCUUGUAGGAUGUGUCUUGUUUUGGGGCAAGUGUUAAGGUAGAAAUAAUGCUUGUUCUUUGUGUUUUUCACUUCCUUUGUUAUAUUCAACUAUAAUCUGUAGUGCUUUAGUGACUGUCUCUUAACUUCCCCAAUUGUCUGCAGUUUGCAUCUUGUGGAAUUAUGUGGAACGGAUGAAUAUUUUGCCCUCAAGGCAAUGGAUAAAAAUGCAAUGCUCAAUCAUAAUAAGGUACACAGAGCUAUUGCAGAAAGGGAAAUUCUUGACAUGUUGGACCACCCUUUUCUCCCUGCAUUAUAUGCUUCAUUUUAG
Chenopodium quinoa (quinoa) is the source of this 669-nucleotide long non-coding RNA. RefSeq lists it as uncharacterized. The record is from RefSeq and is a predicted model, not a curated record. The transcript has 2 exons. Lineage: Eukaryota; Viridiplantae; Streptophyta; Magnoliopsida; Caryophyllales; Amaranthaceae.